CCCACACACCUGCGGUUCAUCUUCCCAUCUGCGCCUCAUUAUCUCUGUGUUCCUGUUGCUAAUUAAGACAAUGAAGUGGUGCUACUCGUCGCUGGAUUGUUGUACGAUUAGUGCCUCCUGGACCUGUCACUUACUAACCCAAGGCAUUGAGAGUGAGUUGGAGUGUGGCUUGCAGAUCGGAGUGUGUGGUUGAAGAGGAGUGAGUGUGACCUACCCUUUCCCCCCUUGGAUUUCCUGGAGUCCCCAACCCCAGCACUGUUGUACAUAUCACUCCUUCUUGUGUUUUCAAAGAUUCUGAGUCCUGCAAUUGAGUCCACCCGUUUACAGUGUUGGGGUAUGACGACUGAAAUGGAGGAUGUUUGACGGUGUCUACUAAGAUGGAAAAUGUGAGCCCUUUUUAUUAUGGCUGACGCUAAGUGAAAGAUAACAAAACCCUAAAAGAAACUCCUCUAAAUGAUCCCAAGCAUCCAGUGAAAGAAACUUACAGAAAAAGAAAAUGGUCUAUGAAUGGCCCAGCCAAUUGCCUGAUGUGACUCCAAAUGAAAAUUUUAUGGAAAAACCUACAGCUCUGAGUUUAUAGAAGGGGUCCAUGGAUCCUUCCGGAUUUGGAGACUUUUUGGUUUUUGUGGAAGAAUGGGCCAAAAUCACACUUGAGGAAUGCAUUCGACUAGGUUCUCCACACAGGAGAGACAGAUGGAGACAGAUGUCUCCUGUGUGGAGCUGUCCCCAACAAAGGCUUUUUGUACAAAGUAUUAAAUACAUUUCAGUUUUCAGUCAUUUUUCUCUGUCAUUUCUCAUUAUUACACAUAACGUGAUUUAUGGACAUCUAUGCAUCUUUGCAUGUGUGGAUUGGAUUGGUUAUCUGGUGAGAAUUUCUUGGCAAUACAACCUUUAGAAAUCGAUUUACUUACAAAGUUGGUCACUUUUUUAUCUGCUUAAUUUGUUAUGGAAUAAUCCAUGAAUAGACCUCACAUGGAUACAAAAUGGUUUAUCAUUUCAUUGUUCAAUUAAAUAUUAGUGUCUAAAACAGGGGGCUGUGUGUAUAAAUGGG
Oreochromis niloticus (Nile tilapia) is the source of this 1051-nucleotide long non-coding RNA. RefSeq lists it as uncharacterized. NCBI's taxonomy places the organism in Eukaryota, Metazoa, Chordata, Actinopteri, Cichliformes, Cichlidae. The record is from RefSeq and is a predicted model, not a curated record. The transcript has 2 exons.